CCUUGCCCUCUUCAUUAGCUGGGGAUAUAGACAUGAGACAUUGGCAACUGGAAGAAUAGUUUUUUUUUUUGUUUUUGGUGGUACUGGGUUUUAACCUUAGGGCUUUGUGUUUGCCAGGGAAGUGCUUUCCCACUCUACCACUUGAGCCACUCCUCUAGUCCAACUUUUUGCUGAUUAUUUUGGAAAUGUAGUAGGUAUUUCUGACCAGGUUGGCUUCUAGCCAAGAGUGUUGGACAAGUUAUGUGGCCCUGAAUUCGAUCCCUAGUACUGAAAAGACCAAAACAAAAAACUUUAAGGGCUAGAAAUGUAUUUCAGUGGUAGAGUGUUUACUUAGCAUACUUUGUAGUCCUGAGCACCUUCCCCCAAAGGAAA
Long non-coding RNA from Perognathus longimembris pacificus (Pacific pocket mouse), 372 nucleotides. RefSeq lists it as uncharacterized. The record is from RefSeq and is a predicted model, not a curated record. Lineage: Eukaryota; Metazoa; Chordata; Mammalia; Rodentia; Heteromyidae. The transcript has 3 exons.